AUUGAACGCUGGCGGCAGGCCUAACACAUGCAAGUCGAGCGGUAACACAGGGAGCUUGCUCCUGGGUGACGAGCGGCGGACGGGUGAGUAAUGUCUGGGAAACUGCCUGAUGGAGGGGGAUAACUACUGGAAACGGUAGCUAAUACCGCAUAACGUCGCAAGACCAAAGAGGGGGACCUUCGGGCCUCUUGCCAUCAGAUGUGCCCAGAUGGGAUUAGCUAGUAGGUGGGGUAACGGCUCACCUAGGCGACGAUCCCUAGCUGGUCUGAGAGGAUGACCAGCCACACUGUAACUGCGACACGGUCCAGACUCCUCCGGGCGGCAGCAGUGUAGAAUAUUGCACAAUGGGCGCAAGCCUGAUGCAGCCAUGCCGCGUGUAUGAAGAAGGCCUUCGGGUUGUAAAGUACUUUCAGCGGGGAGGAAGGCGAUAAGGUUAAUAACCUUGUCGAUUGACGUUACCCGCAGAAGAAGCACCGGCUAGCUCCGUGCCAGCCGCCGCAGUAA
Molecule: ribosomal RNA, 504 nt
Filed under: uncultured bacterium
Lineage: Bacteria
Description: partial 16S ribosomal RNA
Rfam family: Bacterial small subunit ribosomal RNA
Source: RNAcentral